Non-coding RNA from Coffea arabica (coffee), 1596 nucleotides. The record is from RefSeq and is a predicted model, not a curated record. Lineage: Eukaryota; Viridiplantae; Streptophyta; Magnoliopsida; Gentianales; Rubiaceae.
GAACUGCAUGAGAGAUCCAAGGUGGAGUGGAGGAAGUGACUCUACAGCUUUUUCACUUUUUCAGCGCCCCACCAAAGAAGCUACUAAACCAAAACCCAUUUUUCUUGCUGACCAUUUUUCUUACUGCUUCUUAGGGUUUUGAGGAAGCAUUUUCAGCUCUCCAAAAACCCUGCGAUUGCUGCCGGAGAUUCUCGUUGUCGCCGCCGUAGUUACUGACGGUGGAGCCACAUACAUUUGGACCUCGUUUACAGUUGUCGUCUUUCACUGGUCACUACCCGCUCUGUCUCUCCUCCUCCAUCUUUUGAGAGGACAGGGACAGGAUUGGAGGUGGGCUGGGCAUUGUGGCUUUGUUUAAACUCUAAUUGGUGUACAGGGAUUUAAUGAGCUUGCAACUGAUUUUUUUCAUUGUGCAUGCUAAUUUACAAAGCUUGACUUCACAGGCCAGACAAUUACGUAUUUUAUUCUUCUUGAGUAUGGAUAUGAUGGCUCACAAAAUGAAAUGACCUAUUCCACCUAAGCAUGUUUGUGCUAUUACAGCUUUAGCGCUAAAUGCUUAGUAAGAUUGCUUUGUGCAGAGGUUGUCGGCUACCGGGCCUUGUCAGCCCGGCAGCGUAUCAGAGUGAAAAAAAAAAAUUGGACUCGCUUUUGGGUACCGGGCUGUAUCAGCCCGGCACCCAUAAGUAUGCAACAUAUCCCUGUCAAAGCCGUAGAUGUCCGAAUUUUCUUUUCCUCAGCCAUAUUCUAAGUAAUUAGCCCAAGUGCAACUACGCAAAAAUACUGAGCAAAGUUCGAGCAACGCUAGCUUAAAACCCUCCACAAACCCUUCUGCUAGAAGCUUCAACAGGUUAUUGCAGUUGUAUUGCACUGAAUCUUUUGGUACUUUUGGUUUAGAGGUGAAAACUGGAAUUUUGGGCCAAAAACUAGCCAGCCUAUGGCAUUGAGGCGCUUUUUGGGGUUUUCUGAUGGGGAGUUAAUGAGAUCAGAUGCUAAACCCUGUUCCCGGUUGAUGAGACAAACGGCUGGGAUUUUCUCUGUUGGUGGAGCAUUAGGAUUUUGGGUUCUCUGUCGCCUGCAUUAUGGUCCCAGAAUUACAAUUCCUCGAAGUCUUAGGUGGGCUGCCUGUGGAGCAAUCACUGCAAGCUCAUCUACAGCUUUGCUUGUCCGGCUGUUUAGUCCUGAAUGUGAGCCACAAAAUAUAGCUGCUUUUGACAAGAAAAAGUAGUAAUUAACACAUUCAAGUUUUGAUAUUUGUAAAACUACAGUGUCUCCUGUGAGUUUCUCUCCUAAAAGUGGGCAUUUGCAUGUUUUAUAAACUAUUCUGCAUGGGGAAGGGUGGUUGUAUUGUAAGCAAUCAAAAGUUUUAUCAAAAAAGGUGGAAGGUUGGUUGUAAGCAUGGAAGGGUGGUUGCUUUUAAUACAUUUCGCCGUUUUAUCCAACCAAAAAUAAAAAUAAAAAAAUGGAAGGGUGGUUGUGUCGUUUGUCAACUUACGAAAUGACAGUUUUAUUUAUUGUCUAGCCAAGUAGUUUCAUUUGCCCUCUGGAGUUGCCACUAGUUCUCAAGCAUAUUCAAGUGAUGGGCACAUAAUUCUUUUUCCA